Molecule: long non-coding RNA, 1641 nt
Organism: Bos taurus (domestic cattle)
Lineage: Eukaryota; Metazoa; Chordata; Mammalia; Artiodactyla; Bovidae
Source: Ensembl
GGGCCUCCCAACCCUUCCCUGAUGCACCCGCACUUUCAUCUACGCUGCUGCUGCUGAAGAGCAUCUGCAGCUGGUUUCCAAAGGAGUCCUGACCCUGGGGCCAGGCUUCCUGUUUCAGGCAAAGCCCACCUAAGGAUGUGUGUCCUGCUUUCCUCAGCACAUCCUUCACUCCCAGGAGCGGCCUGAGCCGAGGUCGCGGCUAGCACAAUCCUCUGCAGGUGCAGCACUUUCCCCGUGUUUUCUAAAGCAUUUUCCCAUUCUGUAAAGCAGUUUCUGGUGACUCCACAGUAGUCCUGAGAGUUUUUCACAGUGGAGGACUUUUCACCCUAUUUUAAAGAGGAGAAAACGCAGGUUUGGCCAACCUGUGGGAGAUAACCCUCGGCUGUUCAAAGAGCUGAGCUGCAGCUGAACGGGAUUUUAGGCCACUGGCCCGCAGUCUUCCAAGUCCUUAAAGGAUUCAACUUGACCAAGAGAACAGGGAUGGAGGGUGAAAGGUCUUCAGAAUCUUCACACAGAGACGAUAAUGGCUUCUGCAAACAAAUGCUUCAACAAUACAUGAACUGAGAACUUCCAGAUGUUCAAACUGGAUUUAGAAAAGGCAGAGGAACCACAGAUCAAAUUGUCAACAUCUGUUGGAUCAUAGAAAAAGCAAGAGAAUUCCAGGAAAACUUCUACUUCUGCUUCACUGACUAUGCUAAAGCCUUUGACUGUGUGGAUCACAACAAACUGUGGAAAAUUCUUCAAGAGAUGGAAAUACCAGACCACCUUACCUGCCUCCUGAGAAACCUGUAUACAGAUCAAGAAGCAACAGUUAGAACUGGACAUGGAACAACAGACUGGUUCCAAAGUGGGAAAGGAGUACAUCAAGGCUGUAUAUUGUCACCCUGCUUAUUUAACUUAUAUUCAGAGUACAUCAUGCGAAAUGCCGAGCUGGAUGAAGCACAAGCUGGGAUCAAGACUGUCGGGAGAAACAGUGACAGAUUUUAUUUUGGGGGGCUCUAAAAUCACUGCAGAUGGUGACUUCAGCCAUGAAAUUAAAGACAUUUGCUCCUUGGAAGAAAAGUUAUGCCAAACCUAGACAGCAUAUUAAAAAGCAGAGACAUUACUUUGCCAACAAAGGUCUGUCUAGUUAAAGCUAUGGUUUUUCCACUAGUCAUGUAUGGAUGGGAGAGUUGGAUCAUAAAGAAGGCUGAGCACCAAAGAAUUGAUGCUUUUGAACUGUGGUGUUGGAGAAGACUCUUGAGAGUCCCUUGGACUGCAAGGCGAUCAAACCAGUCAACACUAAAGAAAGUCAGUCCUGAAUAUUCACUGGAAGGACAGAUGCUGAAGCUGAAGCCUAAAUACUCUGGCCACCUGAUGAGAAGAGCUGACUCCUUAGAAAAGACCAAGAUGCUGAGAAAGACUGAAGGCAGGAGGAGAAGGGGAUGACAGAGGAUGAGAUGAUUGGAUGGCAUCACUGACUCAAUGGACAUAGGUUUGAGCAAGCUCCAGGAGAUGGUGAAGGACAGGGAAGCCUGGCGUGCUGCAGUUCGUGGGGUCGCAAAGAGUUGGACACGACUGAGCAACUGAACAACAACAUAUAUUUUAUGUAUAGUAGUAUAUAUCUGUUAAUCCUAUACUCCUAAUUUAUUCCUCCCCCAC